RNAcentral lists this ribosomal RNA (253 nucleotides) under uncultured bacterium. RNAcentral describes it as "partial 16S ribosomal RNA". It matches the Rfam family "Bacterial small subunit ribosomal RNA", at positions 524 to 776 of the family's 1533-position model. The record is from RNAcentral.
UACGUAGGUGGCGAGCGUUAUCCGGAUUUACUGGGUGUAAAGGGCGUGUAGGCGGGAGUGCAAGUCAGAUGUGAAAACCACGGGCUCAACCUGUGGCCUGCAUUUGAAACUGUACUUCUUGAGUACUGGAGAGGCAGACGGAAUUCCUAGUGUAGCGGUGAAAUGCGUAGAUAUUAGGAGGAACACCAGUGGCGAAGGCGGUCUGCUGGACAGCAACUGACGCUGAGGCGCGAAAGCGUGGGGAGCAAACAGG